UGGGGAAUAUUGCACAAUGGGCGCAAGCCUGAUGCAGCCAUGCCGCGUGUGUGAAGAAGGCCUUCGGGUUGUAAAGCACUUUCAGCGAGGAGGAAGGUGGUGAGCUUAAUACGCUCAUCAAUUGACGUUACUCGCAGAAGAAGCACCGGCUAACUCCGUGCCAGCAGCCGCGGUAAUACGGAGGGUGCAAGCGUUAAUCGGAAUUACUGGGCGUAAAGCGCACGCAGGCGGUUUGUUAAGUCAGAUGUGAAAUCCCCGGGCUCAACCUGGGAACUGCAUUUGAAACUGGCAAGCUAGAGUCUCGUAGAGGGGGGUAGAAUUCCAGGUGUAGCGGUGAAAUGCGUAGAGAUCUGGAGGAAUACCGGUGGCGAAGGCGGCCCCCUGGACGAAGACUGACGCUCAGGUGCGAAAGCGUGGGGAGCAAACAGAUUAGAUACCCUGGUAGUCCACGUUGUAAACGAUGUCGAUUUUGGAGGUUGUGCCCCUUGAGGCGUGGCUUCCGGAGCUAACGCGUUAAAUCGACCGCCU
This 528-nucleotide ribosomal RNA is filed under the name uncultured bacterium. Its description in RNAcentral is "partial 16S ribosomal RNA". It matches the Rfam family "Bacterial small subunit ribosomal RNA", at positions 355 to 874 of the family's 1533-position model. The record is from RNAcentral.